CGUACACUCCUACGGGAGGCAGCAGUGGGGAAUAUUGGACAAUGGGCGCAAGCCUGAUCCAGCCAUGCCGCGUGAGUGAUGAAGGCCCUAGGGUUGUAAAGCUCUUUCACCGGUGAAGAUAAUGACGGUAACCGGAGAAGAAGCCCCGGCUAACUUCGUGCCAGCAGCCGCGGUAAUACGAAGGGGGCUAGCGUUGUUCGGAUUUACUGGGCGUAAAGCGCACGUAGGCGGACUAUUAAGUCAGGGGUGAAAUCCCGGGGCUCAACCCCGGAACUGCCUUUGAUACUGGUAGUCUUGAGUUCGAGAGAGGUGAGUGGAAUUCCGAGUGUAGAGGUGAAAUUCGUGGAUAUUCGGAGGAACACCAGUGGCGAAGGCGGCUCACUGGCUCGAUACUGACGCUGAGGUGCGAAAGCGUGGGGAGCAAACAGGAUUAGAAACCCGUGUAGUCCCAUG
Molecule: ribosomal RNA, 453 nt
Filed under: uncultured organism
Description: partial 16S ribosomal RNA
Rfam family: Bacterial small subunit ribosomal RNA
Source: RNAcentral